This 248-nucleotide ribosomal RNA is filed under the name Metazoa environmental sample. RNAcentral describes it as "partial small subunit ribosomal RNA". It matches the Rfam family "Eukaryotic small subunit ribosomal RNA", at positions 1296 to 1461 of the family's 1831-position model. The record is from RNAcentral. Lineage: Eukaryota; Metazoa.
AGUUCGUGGAUUGAUUUGUCUGGUUAAUUCCGAUAACGAACGUGACUCAAACAUAUUAACUAGAAUAUUGUCAGUAGUCAUAUGUUGAUGGUAUUAUUUGUUCGAAAGGGAAUUUAACAAGCAAUUGUUGGUUAACUUUUACUCUUAAUAUCCGGAGUAUGACCUGAUAGUAAGUCAACAUUUGUUGGUUGAUAACUGCUUAAUAGCACAAUUUGUGUUCAGCAAAAUGAGAUUGAGCGAUAACAGGU